Molecule: long non-coding RNA, 2622 nt
Organism: Drosophila novamexicana
Lineage: Eukaryota; Metazoa; Arthropoda; Insecta; Diptera; Drosophilidae
Exons: 3
Source: RefSeq, a predicted model, not a curated record
AAAACUUUAUGACUAAUUAAUUAAAUGCGCUAUAAAAAUGCUGCUUGUUCCAGCCCCAUGAAAAAUAAUUAUUUAAACAAAAAGCGGAAAAAAGGAAAUUAUCGGAGCAGCGAGCGACAAAACGUUUGAGUUAUGUGCAAAACAAGUUUUUCAGCAUCGCGGACAAAGUGUUGGCCAAAUAUGCAGGUGGGUGAACUGGGGAGUGUGUGUGACGUGUCGCUGUUUGCUGUUUUUAUACCCUGGACUCAGAAGAAUGCUGAAGAAGGCAUACCUGCGUCAAUGAAGCUUAAAUAUUUUUGGAUAUAUUCUCCUGUUCUGUGUUUUUGUGUCUGUGUUUAUUGAAGGAAGUUCACAUGUAAUUCAGCGACGCCCGGAGUGAUAUCUGCUUGUCGGGUAUUAUUAAUUCUUUCUAUUCAUUUUUUUAUUUUUCGUUCAUCCUAAAAAGUUUUUAAUGAGUUUGCCAAAUGCAGCAAAAUGCACAGCUGACUCUACGUCAAUUGGUUUACAGUCUUGUUUUCAAAAAAGAAUUUCAAGCAAACAAGAAUAGAAAAGUUUUAUCCAUGGGCAUUCGGAGUCGAGUCCCUGGCUAGUUAGAUUUAAAACAUGAAGUAAAUAGCAAAUUCUAAUGGUGAUACAACUGGAAAGUUCGCAAAACAUACCGAAGACAUGCUCAAUUUUUUUAAGUUUAUACUUAGUUAGUUUAUAGACGUCUUGCUUAAAAACUUGAGCUGGGAGUAUAAAAUAUGCAUGUGUGUUAUAUUUAGAGCUUAAAUGUAGAUUUAGUUAUGAAUGAGCUAUGAGUACUGUUUUUUUUUAGAUGUGUACUUAUUACAUUUAAUACACAUAAGCUAAAAGCUUUUCGGUUGGGUGUCAAUUGACCCCCGUUCAUAUGUCAACAUCAUGCACAAUAGCUGUCAAUGGCAAAGCGGCAGAGAAAUCGUGGUAUUCACCAGGUUAUUCAAUACGUUGACAGUUGCAUGUACAUAUGUCGUCGUAAAUAGCCAAACCCAAACUGAAUUUCACACACGAACACAUACCGAAACGCAGCCAUUAAUGGUCAAUUUCAUUUCGAUUUGAUUGUGUGGACGAUUUUGUUCUGGGGCAUUCAACGUCUGAGCUGGACUGGCAAUUACGACAGCCUCCUGUGGCGCACGUUAAGUGCGCGUCCGUUCAAGGGCUGCUCAUUCGAGUAGUACACGAGUUGUGUUCACGUAUUCGUGAAUAGUAUUUGGAAGCCAAAGGACCUCAUGUGGGUUUGUCAAAUUAGCGCAUCGUUGGUCGAGCCGGGCCGAAAGCUCUAGACUCGUUGCGACUGUAUGAAAAUCGUUAAUUUUUGAGUCAAGUUUCCGCUGGCCAUUUCUUGCCACCGACUUAAAGCGACUCACAUCAACACGCAGCGGGUUGCCCCAGGCCGCAAAUUGAAAUGAGUUUUGCCAGCCAUGCAAAUUCCUACUCACACAACAUGUUUCCGUGGCUGCUAAUCACAAAUUCAUUAAUUUCUCAGACCACGGGUCUGUACGAUGGGCAUGCAAAUUAAACAAUUAACAUUUAUGUGCGGCACAAGCAAAUACAAUGGUCAAAGGCCGUAGGCUAUGAGCUACCUAUCUUGAUGGCUGAUUUGACUUCAGGUGUGGGAAUAAUACAUUAUAUGUGCGCUUAACUAUUUGGCCAUAGGUUGAGAUAGGCAUAUAUGUAUAUGUAAUGCUGUAGAAACUGUUCAUCAACUAAAGAAUUUAUUAAACGUAUGUAGAAUUUUGAAAAAUAUUCUGCUUUGAGUUUUGUGUUCAUAGUUUUCACACCCCGAAACUGGAAGCAGCUUGUCGCCAACAGUGCCAAGCGAUUGCACUUGUCGUUCGUCAUGGCGCUUCUUGCUUGUAUAUCGCAAAUCGAGUGGAGUCUAUUUACAGACGAUGCCCGAAACCAAUGAGCCCUGCUUCUGACCCAGUCCCAGACCCGUGGCCGAUACCAAUUCUGUGCCCAGCAGCAGUUCUGUUCAGUUUCUGAUUCCGAUUCAGGCGGGGUAAACAAGUCAAAGUAGUAACCGCCGACAUUUUGCCGUUCGACAGCCGCAUCCCCAGCUUGCCACAUCCACCCAGUCGGGGCCAACCACAGACGCGUCUUUUGUUUGCUCUAGCUCAUUGUUGUUGUUGUUUUUGGUGUGCGCGUGUGUGUGUUUGUGUGUGUGUGUGUGCGUAUCUGUGUGUAGUCUGGUUAGCUGUUUGCCAUUGUGGCUGCAGAUUUGCUCGUUGAGGCACUAAACUUUUAUUUCUUAAAUCCGAAAUCGUUUGUGCCCCUCGCACAAAGUCAAUAUGCGGGCACAUUUAGGGGACGAGAGCUAAGGGUUGGGGACAGUGGGGGCUGCCCCAAAAGGGCGUCGGGCUGCAUGUCUGUCAACGGCAAUGUAGCCGCUGUUGGCUUCCUGUUUCUGAAAAUCGGUUUUUGUUGAUUUGCGCGCCAGUUGUUUAGUCGCCGAAAACAUGGAACGCCGCCAGUCAGACCAAACGACAUCCAUAUCCAACAUCCAACAACCAAUGUCCAGCAACUGGCAACUGGCAACUGGAGUGGAGUUUUGUUUGUUGUCCGUUUGUCAAUUACAAACUUUUAUUGCAAUUUACUUUUGUU